UACAGAGGGUGCGAGCGUUGUCCGGAAUCACUGGGCGUAAAGGGCGCGUAGGUGGUGGCUUAAGCGUGCGGUGAAAGCUCGGAGCUCAACUCCGAGUCGGCCGUGCGAACUGGGCUCACUGGAGCAUAGUAGAGGCAGGUGGAAUUCCGGGUGUAGCGGUGGAAUGCGUAGAGAUCCGGAAGAACACCGGUGGCGAAAGCGACUUUCUGGUCCUUAACUGACGCUGAGGCGCGAAAGCAUGGGGGAGCGAACGGG
Molecule: ribosomal RNA, 255 nt
Filed under: uncultured bacterium
Lineage: Bacteria
Description: partial 16S ribosomal RNA
Rfam family: Bacterial small subunit ribosomal RNA
Source: RNAcentral